GGCCUUUCUAGGGAGUUUUUCCUAGGGAGUUUUUCCUAGCCACCGUGCUUCUUUCACAUGCUUUGCUUGCUGUUUGGGGUUUUAGGCUGGGUUUCUGUACAGCACUUUGAGAAUAUCAGCUGAUGUACGAAGGGCUAUAUAAAAAUAAAUUUGAUUUGAUGUCCCAAAUGGCACCCUAUUCACUUUAUAGCGCACUACUUUAUAGUAGUGCACUAUAUUAAAUAGGGAAUAGUGUUCCAUUUAGGACAGCACCCGUGUGAACUCCCAGGCCCCUGACGUAUUACUCGUCCUAUCACUUAGAGAAGUGUAUGAGCCGGAAGGCUCUCCGCAGAAUGUAUUAACACAGAUGUGAUCCCAUUUGUCUCUAGGUGCCCCUCCCAGGGUGAGUUAUUGUGCGACACCUUCCCAUCACACACACACACACACACAGCCCUGCUUGCCUGGCGUCUUUCUACAGAUUCUCCGUCCAGUGAGACUGAAAAUGUCUGAGUUGCACAGCAGUGACCAACUCCCCAUACAGCAGCCAAACACUGACUCCCUGGACACAUGGGUCAAAUUCCUCCUAUUCGCGGUCUCAUGACCCUGUUAUAGAGGCUCAGUGGCCCAUAUUAGGCAGACAGACAGUAAAACACCUGUGUUUUCAGCCCCAGUGGAGAGGCUACAGCAUCAGUGAAAGCUCUAAGGGAGACACAUGGGCAUCAGUUAUGGAUGUGGAGUCCACUGCUUGAACGCUGACUAAGGAAUCAUCUAAAGGGAAAGGUCACCUAGUGAGACUAAUUUUCCAUCCUCGUUUGGGGGAAGAUCUUGCUAGCCCUAUGGGGCCUUGCUAGGAGCCUCAGGGAACAUCCCAGGGGAGAGAUUAUGUUGGUUUCUGUUUGUGUGUCCUCUCCAGAAGUAGCCAGUGGUGGUUGUGAGUGUGUUCCCUCAGACCCCUAAAGGUUGGGAGGGAGGAAUGCUGGGCUGAUCUACAGAGGGUCAGGCUGUUGGGGGAGAACAGCAUAUCUAGGUCCGGAUCUCAGCCCUUAAGCCACUCAACUCUACUGUCUGAAGAAGCACAGCACUGCUUGAAUGUCCCGUCCAACAUCCCCUCAUGCUGCUGAUCCCUGAAGAGGACUGGGUAACAUUCAUGUCCUCACCUCCCCAUUCGCCUCCCCCUAAGACAUACACACACACACACACACACAACCCCCCUGCCG
Molecule: long non-coding RNA, 1196 nt
Filed under: Salmo salar (Atlantic salmon)
Lineage: Eukaryota; Metazoa; Chordata; Actinopteri; Salmoniformes; Salmonidae
Description: lncRNA (ENSSSAG00000105324.1)
Source: RNAcentral